RNAcentral lists this ribosomal RNA (228 nucleotides) under uncultured fungus. RNAcentral's name for it is "partial 18S ribosomal RNA". It matches the Rfam family "Eukaryotic small subunit ribosomal RNA", at positions 1045 to 1273 of the family's 1831-position model. Lineage: Eukaryota; Fungi. The record is from RNAcentral.
ACUAGGGAUCGGACGAUGUUACAUUUUUGACGCGUUCGGCACCUUACGAGAAAUCAAAGUGCUUGGGCUCCAGGGGGAGUAUGGUCGCAAGGCUGAAACUUAAAGAAAUUGACGGAAGGGCACCACCAGGGGUGGAGCCUGCGGCUUAAUUUGACUCAACACGGGGAAACUCACCAGGUCCAGACACAAUGAGGAUUGACAGAUUGAGAGCUCUUUCUUGAUUUGUGG